This 4951-nucleotide long non-coding RNA is filed under the name Cicer arietinum (chickpea). RNAcentral describes it as "long non-coding RNA (CARI_LNC001271)". The record is from RNAcentral. Lineage: Eukaryota; Viridiplantae; Streptophyta; Magnoliopsida; Fabales; Fabaceae.
UCUUUCAUGACUUCCAUGUGCCUUUCUUUCCUCCCACCUGACCCAAUAUUCAAAUGAAACUGUCAAAAUAUGUUUUUGUUUAAUAUCCCUCAAGUAUAGGGAUUCAGUUGAAUAGGAGUACUAGUAGGGAUUCAGUUAUAUAGGAGUACUAGUAGGGAUUUAGUUAUAUAUGAGUAUUAACAGGGAUUCAAUUAUAUAGGAGUACUAAUAGGGAUUUAGUUAUAUAUGAGUAAUCAUAUGAUUUGGUUGUUUAGUAAUCUAGUAUAAAUAUAUCUGAUGUAUUACCAAUAUAUUUCAAGUUUCAAUAAAUAUAAUUUUAUUCUAAUUCUUGACAUGGUAUCAAAGCAGGUUCUGAUUUUGUGAUUUGUCUUUGUGCUUCACUAACGCUGCCGGCGGCGGCAAAUGCCGCCGACAGCACCACUUUUUUCAGUGUUUCAAUUUUUUGGCUUCAUACAGUCAUUUGUCACCAUCAACUCCGGCUGCCUUUCUAGCAACCAGCCACGACGCUACAGCUUCCAUCAAAAGCACCGCUUUCCCUGUGUUUUUUUUUUUCAAUGACUUUUCUUUUGUUCUUGAUAUGUCCAUUCAUCAAUCACCUAUUUGAAGUUAGUGAAUGCAGCGUCAUCUUCACCGUCAUCUUCACCAGUAAACGGGAUGCCAACAGAUGAUUUCAUAUGCUGCAACAAAUCCUGCUUGGCAGCAAGAAGCUCAUGGCACUGCUCUUUCAAGGUUUAGGUCACACCAACUGUAGCAAGCAAGCCAAUCUCAGAAGCACCUAAUAUUUCUCCAGAUGUUAAGACCACUACAUCUUUCUCAAUAUCAACUCCCACUGGUCGUAUAUCAUUGCCUUGAGUAGUUGUGACCAAUAUUCUAACGCGUGGAGACUUUUCUUCACCAUUGUUGACAUUUCAGCAUCUUCAACUUGACCAACUGCAUCAGCGCCAUCAGGUAUAGGUUCUUCGAUCAGAGCCAGCCCCCACAGCAACUGUAUCACUUACUGUAAGAAUAGCCACUCUGACGUCAGCACCCCCAUAAGAAUCUGUAGUUAUUUUAUCUGAUUUAAUUGCUGGCAAAGCAAAGGUUGAUUAUGAUGAUAUAUGCUUCUUGCCAAAAGCCACGGGUCUUAGGUUAGAAAUUAUGAUAGUUGCAACAGGAGUCCUAGCAGAUACAACACUGCUUGUUGCUGGAAACUCCAAUAAGGCAUUAGCUGACGUCAUACUAAGUAGUUGACUGCUCCUCUGGUGACCGGUGCUCUCGACGACAAAACCAGGGCUGCCUGUUCCAUCAUUGUCGGUCCACAUAACAGUGGCACGAUGAUAUUCUGGUCAAAAGGGAUAUGUCUUUAUGGGCUGUUGAAGUCGAGCUUGCCCUCUCAGAUGAUGAGGAUUUAUCCACCCUGCAACCCGACGUAUAGCAGGGACCACAGAGAGAUGAAAGCAAACUGAAGAGCUGACAAGAUUUCCAGUUAGAAGAAUGUUAAUUCCAGAAGCAAAAGCCUUAUCCAAGAUCCUUCCUUGGCAUUCUUCAUCAUCCUUAGCGAUACCACGGUCCACAACUUUGCAGUGAUGCUGUACUGCAGCUACCAGCAGCAUGGCAUGAUUAGAGUCCCUGAUCUGACCACGACUUAGAUGCACAGUAGAUGGCUCUACAAGCUCAUCUCCAGUAGAAAGAACAGCAACAGUUGAAGUAGGAUACACCUUUACCGUCGCCAACCAACAUUGCACACACUGUCACGCGCGUCCAUCUUCUCUAUGUUUAGAUCUUACGUGCCUCCACCAAAUUUGUGCGUGAGAAUGCAUGCACCUGUCUCCGGCCCCCCUCUGCAGGUUUUUCAUGAUGUGAUGUACUGGUCGUGCCUUUAUCUCCCUGAAGCAUGCCGCUCUCUCCUAGAAACAUAUUCAAGUUUAAAUAUUUUGAGUCUCCAAUAUUAUUGUUUUGAAGCUUCGAAAUGCAGUCUUUUAGAAGAACGGAACUUGCUUUGUUCAAUUGCUUGCCAUGAAUUUCUCUCAGACUGAUGAUCAAUCAGGCUAUCUGGCUAGGCUAUAUUUAUUGCAAUUCUCUCCGCCUUCAAAUGCAUCCCUGAGUUGCCUUUCCAUCUUUUUUAUUAUUUUGUGGAGCAAAACAUUGUUUUCUUGUAGCAAGCUAAAGUUAGCUUUAGCUUGAGGGGGAGUGUUGCACCAUUGCCGCUUGGACGUUUUGUCAAUAGGAGGAGGGAGUGUUUGAGUAACAGAAGUAGAAUCACCGGGUCAUUAGGUGGGGGAACAGAUGGGCCAGAAUCGCUAGUACAUUGUUCAUUCGUCAUUUCAGAUUCAGCUUGGUUAUCGUCUUCAGAUUGUGAAGAUUGACUAUUACUACUUUCACCUUGAGCACAUAAGAAUUCAGCAUCAAAUUCUUUGCCGGUUUGUCAUGUUCUUUGUUGUCAUCAUAAGGAGUCUGUUGCUAAGAUUGUAGCCUUGCGUUCCGAAGUUUCAAUGCUUGAACAUUAUCAAGAGCAAACUCCACUAUCGACCGAUGUUCAAGACCAAAAGUUUCAGGCUUAGAAACACCUGAAACCUUGUCAGACUCCUUAGAUACUUUACUAUUUGUAUCGUGAACCUUUCUUGCAAUAUCUGUUUUCUUGUCAAAAUCAUCUUCAGAAGGAACAUCUUCCACUACGAUACCAUCGGUAUCACUAUCAUCUCCAUGAUCAGAUUGUUUGUCAACAUGCUCGACAUCAUCCUCAGUACCUGCUGAGAUUGUAGCCUUGCGUUCCGAAGUUUCAAUGCUUGAACAUUAUCAAGAGCAAACUCCACUAUCGACCGAUGUUCAAGACCAAAAGUUUCAGGCUUAGAAACACCUGAAACCUUGUCAGACUCCUUAGAUACUUUACUAUUUGUAUCGUGAACCUUUCUUGCAAUAUCUGUUUUCUUGUCAAAAUCAUCUUCAGAAGGAACAUCUUCCACUACGAUACCAUCGGUAUCACUAUCAUCUCCAUGAUCAGAUUGUUUGUCAACAUGCUCGACAUCAUCCUCAGUACCCAGUCAACAACUAUGAGACGAGUCCCAAACUAUGAUCCAUUGAGUUUUCGAAUGUCACUUUCAUUGUGGCCCUUGCUUCCGCAUAAAACUACCACACUUUAUUGUGGUCCUUUUGGCGCUUUCAUUGCGGUUUCUAUUUCUUAGCCACCUUCAUUGUGGCCCUUUUUGCUGCCUUCAUUCCAGCAACUUGAGAUUUCUUUUUGGCCUAAUUUGCACUCUAAUAACUCCUCCCAUGACAACCUUGCAGAUCUUCUAACUAAAGGGUUAAACAUUAGCAACUUUGAAAGAAUUAUAUUCAAGCAGGGAAUAGAGAACACCUAUUCACCAGCUUGAGGGGGAGUGUCAAAAUAUGUUUCUGUUUAAUAUCCCUCAAGUAUAGGGAUUCAGUUGAAUAGGAGUACUAGUAGGGAUUCAGUUAUAUAGGAGUACUAGUAGGGAUUUAGUUAUAUAUGAGUAUUAACAGGGAUUCAGUUAUAUAGGAGUACUAAUAGGGAUUUAGUUAUAUAUGAGUAAUCAUAAGAUUUUGUUGUUUAGUAAUCUAGUAUAAAUAUAUCUGAUGUAUUACCAAUAUAUUUCAAGUUUCAAUAAAUAUAAUUUUAUUCUAAUUCUUGACAGAAACCAUCAUAGUCAAAUCACUGAUGAGGUCGUGCAUUUCAAAGAUUGUUUCCCUAUCACCAGACCUUCGAUGUAUGAGCGACCUUGACACCAAUUCAUCAAAAUAUUCUUCACCUAGUGUUUCCCAACUUUUCUGACUUUUGGGCUGACUUACUAAGCCUUCUGCAAUUCACAACUGAACUAUCGUAUUUCUUUCUAGGGAGACUUCUUUGGAAAUAUAGAACAAUAAGGAAAACAUCUUUUUAAAGAAGCAGGAAGGUAAUGAUAACUCAAUUGAAGAGCUGGUUUGACCUUAAUAUUCGGCAAAUCCCAAAUGUUACUUUCCAAUACCUUAUCCAAUCAUGUGGCGACGAUUUAGUGUGAAGAAGACCACCAAGUGCUACUGCAGCCAAUGGUAAACCAUCACAUUUUUUGGCAAUUUCUUUGCCAAUCACUUCUAGGUUGGUCCAUUGCUCGUAGUUACUUGCUCCAAAUGCAUGUUUGGCAAGCAAAGACCAGCAAUAGUCACUUUGUAGAGGUUCCAGUGUGUGGAUUGGAAGAAAGGUUUGCAUGGCUCGUGCAACUUUAUGAUCCCUUGUGGUGAUGAUGAUCUUACUUCCCAGAUCCCUAACAUUAAAGAUGUCUUUAGAUCACUCCAAACAACAUAGUUUUCGUCCCAUAUGUCAUCCAAUACUAACAAAAACUUUUUAUGACUUAAACUUUGUCAUCCAAUACCAAUGUAGUGACAGAUUCAAGAAGGGUUUAGUGACCUUGACAACAUCAAAAUCUUUUGCGAUGUAAGCCCACCCUUUUAAAUCAAAUUUGGCCUUAACUUCUGGAUCAUUAUAAAGGAGUUUAGCUAGGGAUCGUCUUUUCGGAUUUUAAGACAUUGAUUCCCACAAGUAAACCAAUUAGUCUGUUAAUUAACUAAUUAUUAACUAAUUAACUAAUUUCAAAUCUACAGACAAUGUUAAUUAACUAAUUAUUAACUCAAUUAGUAAAUAAAUAAAUCAUAAAGAUGUAAGAUAUUAAGAAUGAAUUGAGAUUGUAGGUCUGAAUGAAGGAUAGGCGAGAAAUGCAUCGUACUCGUGGCGGAGAGGUUGAGGUUGUUGCUGUAAUUGGCGGCGGUGAGCAAAUCAGUGAGAUAGCUUCUAGGUAACCGCCGUGGAUGUUGAAGUGAGAGCUUCGAAUCCGUACAUUUCCGGCGGCGUCCGAACCAAAUGCGGCGAGAUGAGGCUUCCUGCCUCCCCUUGCAACGACAUGGCGCGGCUGUCUUUUCCGCCGCAGAUCCUUGCCGCGACGGUGAACCACACCGUUCAAUGUGACGAUUACGAUUUUUU